This 304-nucleotide ribosomal RNA is filed under the name uncultured Fusobacterium sp. RNAcentral describes it as "bacterial SSU rRNA". It matches the Rfam family "Bacterial small subunit ribosomal RNA", at positions 1212 to 1513 of the family's 1533-position model. Lineage: Bacteria; Fusobacteriati; Fusobacteriota; Fusobacteriia; Fusobacteriales; Fusobacteriaceae. The record is from RNAcentral.
GGCUACACACGUGCUACAAUGGGUAGUACAGAGAGUCGCAAAGCCGUGAGGUGGAGCUAAUCUCAGAAAACUAUUCUUAGUUCGGAUUGUACUCUGCAACUCGAGUACAUGAAGUUGGAAUCGCUAGUAAUCGCGAAUCAGCAAUGUCGCAGGUGAAUACGUUCUCGGGUCUUGUACACACCGCCCGUCACACCACGAGAGUUGGUUGCACCUGAAGUAGCAGGCCUAACCGUAAGGAGGGAUGCUCCGAGGGUGUGAUUAGCGAUUGGGGUGAAGUCGUAACAAGGUAUCCGUACGGGAACGU